AUGAGCGCAAAGGACAACCAUAAGCAGCAGCAGCAGCGUGCCGUGGCGCGGAUGGUGGCGGCGGCCAUGUCGACUCCGUGCUCCAUCAAGCCCCUGCUCGUCGCCAUCCCCCUCGCCCUCGGCUUCGCGCUCGGCAUCGUGGCGACCCUGUCCCUGAUGGGCUCCACGGCGUCGUCGGCUCUACCAGGUGCCGCCCUCGAGCUCUUCUUCCCGUCGCCCCCCGUCAACGUGUCCACCGAGGUGCGCCGCCGGCAGCCACCGCGGCCGGCGCAAGUGCACCCACAGGCGGCACCGGCCGUCUCGCCGCCGGUGGCUCAUGCAGGCAUUAGAAGGCAUGCGGGUCCGCCGCCAGUACAACGACGACAGGCGGCACCAGCAACCGGUGUCUCGUCUCCGCCGUCGCCGCCGGUGGUUGAUGCCGGCAGUGCCAACAAGCGUGCGGCUAUGCCUGUGAAUGUGACCACUACUAAUGAGGGUGGCGAGCGGGCGGUGGUCGACGACGACGACCGGCUGAUGGCGCUGGCGGCGGCGGCGCCGAGGACGGUGCGCGCGGCGGCGGGGUGCGCGCCCAAGGUGGCGUUCCUGUUCCUGGCCAAGUGGGACCUGCCGAUGGCGCCGCUGUGGGAGCGCUUCUUCGAGGGCCACCGCGGGCUAUACUCCGUCUACGUCCACACCGGCCCGGCCUUCAACGCCUCCGCCGCCGCCGCCCCGGACAGCAGCUCCGCCUUCCACCGCCGACACAUUCCCAGCAAGGAGGUAAAAUGGGGCCACAUAAGCAUGGUGGAAGCCGAACGACGUCUCUUGGCGCACGCACUGUUGGACCACUCCAACGCCCGCUUCAUCCUCCUAUCAGAGUCACACGUCCCACUCUUCGACUUCCCCACCGUCUACUCCUACCUCAUCAACUCCACCAAGGUGUACAUGGAGUCCUAUGAUGAGCUGGGCGGGACGGGCCGGGGCCGAUACAAGCGUGGCAUGGCACCCACUAUCAUCCCUUGGCAGUGGCGCAAGGGCUCACAGUGGUUCGAGAUGGACCGUGCCCUUGCCGUCGACGUCGUUGCUGACGACGUCUACUUCCCGGUCUUCAAAAAGUUUUGCAAGCGCAAUUGCUACGCCGACGAGCACUACCUUCCGACGUUCCUCCACAUCCGGCACCCUGAGGCGGCCGCCGGACGAACCGUGACGUGGGUUGACUGGUCCCAUGGCGGCCCCCACCCGUCGAGGUUCACGAGGAUGGAGGUCACGAUGGAUUUCCUGCAGUGGCUUAGGGGCGGGACGACAUGUGAGUACAAUGGGAGGACCACCACCGUCUGCUUCUUGUUCGCGAGGAAGUUCCUGCCCAACUCGCUCACCCGCUUCUUGAGAUUCGCACCGAAGGUGAUGGGCUUUGGCUGA
RNAcentral lists this ribosomal RNA (1395 nucleotides) under Triticum aestivum (bread wheat). RNAcentral's name for it is "partial small subunit ribosomal RNA". The record is from RNAcentral. Lineage: Eukaryota; Viridiplantae; Streptophyta; Magnoliopsida; Poales; Poaceae.